Cladophialophora chaetospira is the source of this 77-nucleotide non-coding RNA. Lineage: Eukaryota; Fungi; Ascomycota; Eurotiomycetes; Chaetothyriales; Herpotrichiellaceae. The record is from the annotation of a GenBank genome assembly.
UCCGAUAUGGUGUAAUGGUUAACAUUCCAGUCUCUCACACUGGAGCUCCUGGUUCAAUUCGUGAGUAUACCCCGAAA